UACGUAGGGGGCAAGCGUUGUCCGGAAUUAUUGGGCGUAAAGCGCGCGCAGGCGGUUCCUUAAGUCUGAUGUGAAAGCCCACGGCUUAACCGUGGAGGGUCAUUGGAAACUGGGGAACUUGAGUGCAGAAGAGGAGAGUGGAAUUCCACGUGUAGCGGUGAAAUGCGUAGAUAUGUGGAGGAACACCAGUGGCGAAGGCGACUCUCUGGUCUGUAACUGACGCUGAGGCGCGAAAGCGUGGGGAGCGAACAGG
RNAcentral lists this ribosomal RNA (253 nucleotides) under uncultured bacterium. RNAcentral's name for it is "partial 16S ribosomal RNA". It matches the Rfam family "Bacterial small subunit ribosomal RNA", at positions 524 to 776 of the family's 1533-position model. The record is from RNAcentral.